Molecule: ribosomal RNA, 462 nt
Filed under: Triticum aestivum (bread wheat)
Lineage: Eukaryota; Viridiplantae; Streptophyta; Magnoliopsida; Poales; Poaceae
Description: partial small subunit ribosomal RNA
Source: RNAcentral
AUGAUAGAUGGAAAUUGUGGUUUCUGUUACCCUCGACAGUUUUUCCCUGCAACACAACAAGGAAAGGACUCAUACCCUAUAUAUAGGAGAAGGGCUAAUGGUCGCCGAGUAGAAGUUAGGAAUGCGGUGUUGGACAACAGAUGGGUUGUCCCAUACAACACCGGACUGCUCAUGAGAUAUAAUUUUCACAUUAAUGUUGAAGCUUGCUCGAGCAUAAAGGCAAUCAAAUAUUUGUACAAGUACAUAUACCAGGGGCAUGAUCGUGCUUCCUUCUCAGUUAACCCGGCGACAACUGAUGGUGGUGUGAUAAAUGAGAUUCGGCAAUACAGGGAUGCAAGAUUUGUAACACCACCAGAGUCUAUGUACAGGGUAUGUGCUUUCCGUAUGUUUGGUGUCUCUCGCAACUAUAGCUGCAUUUGCCCAACAUGCAUACUGUUGCAUUCAACGGUACUGAUAACCUAG